AGAUGUCACACAGUUAUAAAAUGGGAAACUUGAAGAAUAAGUUAUAGCUCCAGAAAACCGCCACCAGCAGCAGAUGUCACAGUUAUAAAAUGGGAAACUUGAAGAAUAAGCUCCAGAAGUCAGCAGCAGCAGACAUCACACAGCCAUAAUGCGAGAAGCUUGAAGAAUAAUGUGUUAUGGCUCCGAUAGUCUUCCAGCAGCAGCAAAUGUUACACAGUCCUAUAGAGGCAAACUUGAAGUAUGAGGUAAUAGUGUUUUGCAUAGAAUGGCAAACUUGACCUUUCACUUAAAAUGGAGGUACAUUUGCACUGAGUUUAAUGUUAUGACACGUGAAUGGAUUACCAGUGAUGUAUAUGUAAAUACUGGAAUUUGUAACUUAGAACUUAAUUUCAGUAUCGGCUUUGAAAUUUGGUCACUGGAUACAACUAUAUUAUCUUUCAUGUUGAUAGCAGCAAUCAUCAGAUUGCAAUCCAGUUUAGUACCUGUGAGGCAUGAGAUGUCAAAAAUACGUGUGGGUUAUUGGUAGCCUGUGUCGAGGCAUGUGGCACCUCAAAGUUUGUAAGUACAGUAGCAUUUUGUUUUCUGCUUUACUUAAAAAUUGUUAGCUGUAGCACCCAUUCUGACAUUUAAUUAUUUUGAAUUUCAAGUUUCUUAAAAUAAUACUGACAUCAGUUUCAUAUGUGUUAACACUAAUCCAUAUAUUAUUGCUAAUAUAUGCUAUUUUCCUCAGAUGUUAACUGAAAUUGUUUUAUUAUAAUGAUAACAACACUUCAGCCUUUGUAGACUUGCAGUAUAGGUUACCUGCUGAGAAAUAUUUACUGGAAGAAGUGGUUUCUUUGAAUAGGACUGAAAGGAAUAUCACUGAAAAUGCCAAAUGUGAAUUGGUGAAACCUCUUGUGCUCAAUACUAAAUUUCAUUUGCAAAACACAGAAGUUUUCCUAUCUUUGUGGUGGAACACAACAAAUUCUCAUAAUUUUGCUAGUUUGUAUUCUAGAAAGGGUGCCAGAAAUGGAAGAGUAUAAUUUUUAUUAAAUCGGGCAUUAAAUGUAAGUAGGUUGGAGUACAGAAAGGGUGAAACUGGCCUUUCCCACUGUAGCCUGAUGUGCUCCAACAUGCAUUUGUACUGAUGUGCAGGUGGUUAUAACACUAGUAUCAAACUGCAUGGUACCCACUUACUAAUGUGACCUACCCUUGCAUGAUCUGCUGCAGACAGCAAGAUAUCCACUACUG
This is a long non-coding RNA of Schistocerca americana (American grasshopper), 1230 nucleotides long. RefSeq lists it as uncharacterized. NCBI's taxonomy places the organism in Eukaryota, Metazoa, Arthropoda, Insecta, Orthoptera, Acrididae. The transcript has 4 exons. The record is from RefSeq and is a predicted model, not a curated record.